GUGAAUCAUCGAAUCUUUGAACGCAAAUUGCACUUUCUUCGGAGAGUAUGCCUGUUUGAGGGUAAGCCUAAACAAAAUAGACAUAGUUGCUGUUUAGAGGUGAAAUUCGUCGGCAAUUGGGUCAUCUUAAACCUUUGGGUUUUAAGAGGCUUCAAAUUUUCUUUAUGAUUCCACGAACGUUUAUAAGAUUUUCUUCUUACGUUUAAGGUAUAGAUUUUUAUUAGACGUGUCCGUGGCGUCGGGUUACGUCCAUAAAUCUAUCGUUACCUGACC
RNAcentral lists this unclassified non-coding RNA (273 nucleotides) under Glomus sp. RNAcentral's name for it is "partial contains 5.8S ribosomal RNA and internal transcribed spacer 2". The stretch from base 1 to 65 matches the Rfam family "5.8S ribosomal RNA", at positions 84 to 154 of the family's 154-position model. Lineage: Eukaryota; Fungi; Glomeromycota; Glomeromycetes; Glomerales; Glomeraceae. The record is from RNAcentral.